This 76-nucleotide transfer RNA is filed under the name archaeon. RNAcentral's name for it is "tRNA-Cys". It matches the Rfam family "tRNA". From Rfam's summary of the family: Transfer RNA (tRNA) molecules are approximately 80 nucleotides in length. RNAcentral also lists the same sequence under 3 other names. The record is from RNAcentral.
GGUGGGGUGGCUGAAUGGUUCAGGCGGUGGGCUGCAGACUCACUCUAUAAGGGUUCAAUUCCCUUCCCCACCUCCA